AUGGCGGCUCGCGUUUUCCUCUCGUCGUCCAGGAUCGCGGGCCAGCUCGCGGCCGCGAAUAACCGUGGUGUCCGUUCGUACGCCGCAGCGGCGGCGGCCGUGACGCGGCAGGAGCCUUCAGCAGCCGGGGCUGCGAGCAGGCUCGCGGCGGCGGCAAAGGAGGCGGCCCCGAAGAAGGAAUUCUUCUGGAUGAGGGACCCAAAGACGGGGUGCUGGAUGCCGCAAAACCACGUCGACGUCGUUGACCCCGCAGACCUCCGCGCGCGGCUGCUCUUCUCCAAGAAGUAA
This 288-nucleotide ribosomal RNA is filed under the name Triticum aestivum (bread wheat). RNAcentral's name for it is "partial small subunit ribosomal RNA". Lineage: Eukaryota; Viridiplantae; Streptophyta; Magnoliopsida; Poales; Poaceae. The record is from RNAcentral.